Molecule: ribosomal RNA, 1343 nt
Filed under: uncultured bacterium
Lineage: Bacteria
Description: partial 16S ribosomal RNA
Rfam family: Bacterial small subunit ribosomal RNA
Source: RNAcentral
AGAGACCUUCGGGUCUCUAGUGGCGAACGGGUGAGUAACACGUAGGGAACCUGCCCGCGCACCGGGAAUACGCUCUGGAAACGGAGAACAAAUCCCGAUGUACAGGAAGGAGGCAUCUUCUUUCUGUGAAACAUCCUCUAGGGGAUGGGGCGCGGAUGGACCUGCGGUGCAUUAGUUUGUUGGCGGGGUAAAGGCCCACCAAGACGAUGAUGCAUAGCCGAGUUGAGAGACUGAUCGGCCACAUUGGGACUGAGACACGGCCCAAACUCCUACGGGAGGCAGCAGUAGGGAAUCUUCCACAAUGGACGAAAGUCUGAUGGAGCAACGCCGCGUGAGUGAAGAAGGGUUUCGGCUCGUAAAGCUCUGUUGGUAGUGAAGAAAGAUAGAGGUAGUAACUGGCCUUUAUUUGACGGUAAUUACUUAGAAAGUCACGGCUAACUACGUGCCAGCAGCCGCGGUAAUACGUAGGUGGCAAGCGUUGUCCGGAUUUAUUUGGGCGUAAAGCGAGUGCAGGCGGUUCAAUAAAGUCUGAGGGAAAAGCCUUCGGCUCAACCCGGAAAAUUGCAUCAGAAACUGUUGAACUGGAGUGCAGAAGAGGAGAGUGGAACUCCAUGUGUAGCGGUGGAAUGCGUAGAUAAUAUGGAAGAACACCAGUGGCGAAGGCGGCUCUCUGGGUCUGCAACUGACGCUGAGGCUCGAAAGCAUGGGUAGCGAACAGGAUUAGAUACCCUGGUAGUCCAUGCCGUGAACGAUGAGUGCUAAGUGUUGGGAGGUUUCCGCCUCUCAGUGCUGCAGCUAACGCAUUAAGCACUCCGCCUGGGGAGUACGACCGCAAGGUUGAAACUCAAAGGAAUUGACGGGGGCCCGCACAAGCGGUGGAGCAUGUGGUUUAAUUCGAAGCAACGCGAAGAACCUUACCAGGUCUUGACAUCCAGUGCAAACCUAAGAGAUUAGGUGUUCCCUUCGGGGACGCUGAGACAGGUGGUGCAUGGCUGUCGUCAGCUCGUGUCGUGAGAUGUUGGGUUAAGUCCCGCAACGAGCGCAACCCUUAUUCUUAGUAGCCAGCAGGUAAGGCUGGGCACUCUGGGAAGACUGCCAGGGAUAACCUGGAGGAAGGUGGGGAUGACGUCAAAUCAUCAUGCCCCUUAUGAUUUGGGCUACACACGUGCUACAAUGGCGUAAACAAAGGGAGGCGAAGGAGUAAUCUGGAGCGAACCCCAAAAAUAACGUCUCAGUUCGGACUGUGGUCUGCAACCCGACCACACGAAGCUGGAAUCGCUAGUAAUCGCGAAUCAGAAUGUCGCGGUGAAUACGUUCCCGGGUCUUGCACUCACCGCCCGUCA